UGGAAAGCGGAGCUGGGUGCGAUGGCGGCGAGUAUCCGAAAGUUGUGAAUAACCCAAAAGUGCGUGCCCCUGAUUGGGCCACAUCCAGCAGAUCAACAAUUCCACGCGGCGUAAACAAAACACACCAAGUGCCAAAGUUUACUGUCACGUGCUUGUCAACAGCGUCUUGGCGUUUUAUAACGCCCUGACCCCGGACACGACGAAGCUUUACAAGUGACCCCGCUUCUUGGUGGACUUUGCACCCGGCCAACGGCAACUAACUGAACUGAACUCGGGUCCCACGGCGCCUACAUCAUACUUUUAGGACGCUGCCAGGACACGGCCUGCCGGCAUUUCCUACAGGGCACGAAGGACAUCCCCAACCUCGUGCACACCCGCAUCCGCAUCCACAGCCACAUUCACAUCCACAUCCUCGCCACAUCAAACGAGAGCGCCCACAAGGGAUACAGUUGUUAACGUGGCCAAGGAGCAGCGACUAUGGCGGGCACAAAAACACAAACAUGGUUGCCGCAGGACGCUUGCAGUUGAAGGAGCGAGCACUUUAUGUGCAUAUAAUGUCCGCUCUCACCCACGGCACACACCCACACACACACACACACACGCGGAGAGGCAGGACCCUUUGAGCCAAGUUGCGGGGAAUUGUUAAUAUUGUCUGGGCCUGUAAGCAGCAUUUACAUGCUGGCCGACACCACGUACUACAUACGUCCUGGCUGAUGGACGGUCCCCGGGAUGCGGAAUCCUUGCCAUGCGGAUGAUGCCCGGCUUUAAGUAGGCCCGCCUGGUAACAGACAUUGUUUUAAAAAUAUGUACAUCCUUGCAGCUUGCAGAUGUUGAAUUAACCGACGAUGCCCGACAGCUUUCAUUAGGAAAAGGCGGAUGGCCAAAGUCCUGGACUUGCCGGAUGUGGAAAGCCCAAAUGCCGAUGCAUUCUGGAUUCGUGGCAUUAAGACAAAAAUAAACUUGAUUUUGGUACGAAAUUGAUUCAUUCAUUUUCGAUCCAUUGAGUCUGAUUCUUAUCCGAUGGAUGAGUCGGGCAGCAUCAGCACUUCCAACUGUGUGCACAUCCAACAGGUAGUCAAACCAGACAAUCUGUCUCCACUUGCCGUGGAGUCUCGUUUCCAUCCUCUUCGCCUCCCAAUCUUUCUUUGCAGUCAAUGAAUGAGUUGGAAGUCUGCGAAAACAGCGGACUCUUUAGUGAAAGGAUAUUGACACCCAUGUUCCGAAAAAGUAUUUCUCGGAUAAAUUUCGAUGUUUGUUGCCAAGGACCAUUUUGUCAGCUUGAGAACAUGUUGCAGAUAACCUACCAAAUAAUGAACGAUUCUUGAUGGACUGGAUGAUAGCAGCUGGACAUAAUUAUGUUAAUUUACAAUACACAUUAUAUGAUUAUAAAGACUUAAAAAGUAAUACGUUAUCAAAAUAAGGACAUCACAGUAGGAUGGAAGUUUUACUCAUGUACUUUCCGAUAGAAUUUGGUUGGAUGAAUGUGUUAUGUGUAUCUGAAAAUUGUAUUGAUGUUCGUUAGUGCUCUAAUUAGAUCAUUUAAUGAUCAACCAUAUACGACUGCAAAUGUAAUUAUUUAAAAUGUAUAUUUUUGUAAAUACAACAUAGUCAGGACAUUUAAACAAACAAAAUACUUUACAUGGCCGCUGAUCAAAAGCUAACAAAAAUAUU
Molecule: RNA transcript, 1671 nt
Organism: Drosophila erecta
Lineage: Eukaryota; Metazoa; Arthropoda; Insecta; Diptera; Drosophilidae
Exons: 6
Source: RefSeq, a predicted model, not a curated record